GUUGUAUGGUUAAGUGACUAAGCGUACACGGUGGAUGCCUAGGCAGUUGGAGGCGAUGAAGGACGUACUAACUUGCGAUAAGCCAUGACGAGGCAGUAAGAGCCACUUGAGUCAUGGAUUUCCGAAUGGGGCAACCCACUGAGCUUGCUCAGUAUCCGGCACUGAAUAAAAUAGGUGCCAGGAGGCGAACCCGGAGAACUGAAACAUCUAAGUACCCGGAGGAAAAGAAAUCAACCGAGAUUUCCCUAGUAGCGGCGAGCGAACGGGAAGCAGCCCUUAAGCGUUACAUGUGCUAACAGAAUCUGUUGGGAAGCAGAGCCAUAGACGGUGAUAGCCCGGUAUGUGAAGGCGCAUGAAACGUGAAAACGAGUAGGUCGGGACACGUGUUAUCUUGACUGAAUAUGGGGGGACCAUCCUCCAAGGCUAAAUACUCCCAACUGACCGAUAGUGAACCAGUACCGUGAGGGAAAGGCGAAAAGAACCCCGGCGAGGGGAGUGAAAUAGAACCUGAAACCGUGUACGUACAAGCAGUAGGAGCGGACGUGUUCCGUGACUGCGUACCUUUUGUAUAAUGGGUCAGCGACUUAUAUUUUGUAGCAAGGUUAACCGUAUAGGGUAGCCGUAGGGAAACCGAGUCUUAACUGGGCGCUCAGUUGCAAGGUAUAGACCCGAAACCGGGCGAUCUAACCAUGAGCAGGUUGAAGAUUGAGUAACAUCAAUUGGAGGACCGAACCCACUUAUGUUGAAAAAUGAGGGGAUGACUUGUGGCUAGGAGUGAAAGGCUAAUCAAGCCCGGAGAUAGCUGGUUCUCCCCGAAAUCUAUUUAGGUAGAGCCUCGGACGAAUACCAUUGGGGGUAGAGCACUGUUUGGGCUAGGGGGUCAUCCCGACUUACCAACCCCAUGCAAACUCCGAAUACCAAUGAGUACUAUCCGGGAGACACACGGCGGGUGCUAACGUCCGUCGUGGAGAGGGAAACAACCCAGACCGCCAGCUAAGGUCCCAAAGUUAUGGCUCAGUGGGAAACGAUGUGGGAAGGCACAGACAGCUAGGAGGUUGGCUUAGAAGCAGCCACCCUUUAAAGAAAGCGUAAUAGCUCACUAGUCGAGUCGGCCUGCGCGGAAGAUGUAACGGGGCUAAGCCAUACACCGAAGCUGCGGCAGCAACUUGUUGCUGGGUAGGGGAGCGUUCUGUAAGCGGAUGAAGGUGGUUCGAGAGGACUGCUGGACGUAUCAGAAGUGCGAAUGCUGACAUGAGUAACGAUAAUGGGAGUGAAAAACUCCCACGCCGGAAGACCAAGGUUUCCUAUCCCAUGCUAAUCAGGGUAGGGUAAGUCGGCCCCUAAGGCGAGGCGGAAACGCGUAGUCGAUGGAAAACAGGUUAAUAUUCCUGUACCGAUGUUCAUUGCGAUGGGGGGACGGAGAAGGCUAGGUGAGCGCGGCGUUGGUAGUCCGCGUGAAAGUGCGUAGGCUGAGGGUUUAGGAAAAUCCGGACCCUUAAGGCCGAGACACGAGACGAGCAUCUACGGAUGCGAAGUCAUUGAUGCCCUGCUUCCGGGAAAAGCCUCUAAGCUUCAGAUGAACAUUGACCGUACCCCAAACCGACACAGGUGGUCAGGUAGAGAAUACUAAGGCGCUUGAGAGAACUCGGGUGAAGGAACUAGGCAAAAUAGUACCGUAACUUCGGGAGAAGGUACGCCGCUGAUGGUGAUUGACUUUUCGUCAUGAGCUGUUGGCGGUCGCAGUGACCAGGUGGCUGGGACUGUUUAUUAAAAACACAGCACUGUGCUAACACGAAAGUGGACGUAUACGGUGUGACACCUGCCCGGUGCCGGAAGGUUAAUUGAUGGGGUUAGCGUAUGCGAAGCUCUUGAUCGAAGCCCCGGUAAACGGCGGCCGUAACUAUAACGGUCCUAAGGUAGCGAAAUUCCUUGUCGGGUAAGUUC
Molecule: ribosomal RNA, 1944 nt
Filed under: Idiomarina sp. H105
Lineage: Bacteria; Pseudomonadati; Pseudomonadota; Gammaproteobacteria; Alteromonadales; Idiomarinaceae
Also listed under: 1 other name
Description: bacterial LSU rRNA
Rfam family: Bacterial large subunit ribosomal RNA
Source: RNAcentral